This 648-nucleotide ribosomal RNA is filed under the name Drosophila sucinea. RNAcentral describes it as "partial 16S ribosomal RNA". The record is from RNAcentral. Lineage: Eukaryota; Metazoa; Arthropoda; Insecta; Diptera; Drosophilidae.
UUAGAUUUUAUUUAUUAAUUAUUUAUUAUUUUUUGUAAAAUUAUUAAAAAUAAUUAUAAAAUAAAAAGUUUUAGUAUUGUUUAAAGAAAAAAUAAAUUUAAUAAUAGUUUAAUAGUAUUGUAAAAGAAAAUUGAAAUAAUUUGAAAAAAUUUUAUUAUAAAAGAAAAUUUAAUUUAUUGUACCUUGUGUAUCAGCGUUUAUUAAAUAAAAAAUAAUUAUAAUUAUUUUUCUCGAUUUUAAAAGAGUUAAUAUAAUAUAAAAGUUAAUGUGAUAAAAUUAUUUUAAAUAUUAUAUUAGAAAUGAAAUGUUAUUCGUUUUUAAAGGUAUCUAGUUUUUCAAGAAAUAAAUUUAAUUUAAAAAUUAUAAAUUUAUUUUAAAAAUUUUUUAAUAAAAUAAUUUUAUAAUUUUAAUAUUUUAUGGGAUAAGCUAUAAAAUAAAUUAUUAAAAAUAAUAAAUAAAUUUAAUAAAUAUAUGUUUAGAAUUAGCAAUUGUUAAUAAUUAUGUUAUAAUUUAUUUUAUAAAUAAAAUUAUUUAUUAAAUUUUAAUUAUUUAUUGAAAUAUUAAUUUUAAUUUUUAAAAUUAAGUAAUAAUGAUAGAAUUAGUAUAUAUUAUUGUAAAAAUAAAUAUAAAUGAAAAGUUUAAAUAAAG